Molecule: ribosomal RNA, 823 nt
Filed under: uncultured maize root archaeon ZmrA4
Lineage: Archaea
Description: bacterial SSU rRNA
Rfam family: Archaeal small subunit ribosomal RNA
Source: RNAcentral
UUCCGGUUGAUCCUGCCGGACCUGACUGCUAUCGGAUUGGUACUAAGCCAUGCGAGUCAUUGUAGCAAUACAAGGCGGACGGCUCAGUAACACGUAGUCAACCUAACUCGUGGACGUGGAUAACCUCGGGAAACUGAGAAUAAACCACGAUAGACCAUAGUGCCUGGAAUGGCUUAUGGUCCAAACAGUUUACUGCCAUGGGAUGGGACUGCGGCCUAUCAGCUUGUUGGAGAGGUAAUGGCCCACCAAGGCGAUUACAGGUACGGGCUCUGAGAGGAGAAGCCCGGAGAUGGGUACUGAGACACGGACCCAGGCCCUAUGGGGCGCAGCAGGCGAGAAACCUUAGCAAUGUGCGAAAGCACGACUGGGUCAGUUCGAGUGAUUCCUGAUAAAGGAGUCUUUUGCUUGUCCUAAAAGCACAGGUGAAUAAGGGGUGGGCAAGUCUGGUGUCAGCCGCCGCGGUAAUACCAGCACCUCGAGUGGUCAGGACGUUUAUUGGGCCUAAAGCAUCCGUAGCCGGCUUUGCAAGUCUUCGGUUAAAUCCACCUGCUCAACAGAUGGGCCGCUGGAGGUACUACAAAGCUAGGGAGUGGGAGAGGCAGACGGUAUUCAGUGGGUAGGGGUAAAAUCCUCUGAUCCAUUGAGGACUACCAGUGGCGAAGGCGGUCUGCCAGAACACGUUCGACGGUGAGGGAUGAAAGCUGGGGGAGCAAACCGGAUUAGAUACCCGGGUAGUCCCAACUGUAAACGAUGCUAACUCGGUGAUGCAUUGGCUUAUGGCCAAUGCAGUGCCGCAGGGAAGCCGUUAAGUUUGCCGCCUGGA